AUACGAGGGGUGCAAGUGUUGUUCGGAAUCACUGGGCGUAAAGGGAGCGUAGGCUGGAAGCCAAGUCAGAUGUUUAAUGCCGGGGCCUAACCCCGGUUUUGCAUUCGAAACUGGUUUUCUUGAGUAAGUAAGAGGUAAACGGAAUACCUGAUGUAGCGGUGGAAUGCGUAGAUAUCAGGUGGAACACCAAUAGCGAAGGCAGUUUACUGGGACAUUACUGACGCUGAGGCUCGAAAGUGUGGGUAGCGAACAGGAUUAGAAACCCCAGUAGUCC
Molecule: ribosomal RNA, 274 nt
Filed under: uncultured bacterium
Lineage: Bacteria
Description: partial 16S ribosomal RNA
Rfam family: Bacterial small subunit ribosomal RNA
Source: RNAcentral